This 557-nucleotide ribosomal RNA is filed under the name Debaryomyces hansenii. RNAcentral's name for it is "partial large subunit ribosomal RNA". It matches the Rfam family "Eukaryotic large subunit ribosomal RNA", at positions 86 to 657 of the family's 3401-position model. The record is from RNAcentral. Lineage: Eukaryota; Fungi; Ascomycota; Pichiomycetes; Serinales; Debaryomycetaceae.
ACGGCGAGUGAGCGGCAAAAGCUUCAAAUUUUGAAAUCUGGCACCUUCGGUGUCCGAGUUGUAAUUUGAAGAAGGUAACUUUGGAGUUGGCUCUUGUCUAUGUUCCUUGGAACAGGACGUCACAGAGGGUGAGAAUCCCGUGCGAUGAGAUGCCCAAUUCUAUGUAAAGUGCUUUCGAAGAGUCGAGUUGUUUGGGAAUGCAGCUCUAAGUGGGUGGUAAAUUCCAUCUAAAGCUAAAUAUUGGCGAGAGACCGAUAGCGAACAAGUACAGUGAUGGAAAGAUGAAAAGAACUUUGAAAAGAGAGUGAAAAAGUACGUGAAAUUGUUGAAAGGGAAGGGCUUGAGAUCAGACUUGGUAUUUUGCGAUCCUUUCCUUCUUGGUUGGGUUCCUCGCAGCUUACUGGGCCAGCAUCGGUUUGGAUGGUAGGAUAAUGACUAAGGAAUGUGGCUCUACUUCGGUGGAGUGUUAUAGCCUUGGUUGAUACUGCCUGUCUAGACCGAGGACUGCGUCUUUUGACUAGGAUGUUGGCAUAAUGAUCUUAAGCCACCCGUCUUGA